AGAGUUUGAUCCUGGCUCAGGACGAACGCUGGCGGCGCGCCCAACACAUGCAGGUCGAGCGAGAACCAGGACUUCGGUCCUGGGGACAGCGGCGAACGGGUGAGUAACACGUGGAUAACCUGCCCUCGGCACCGGAAUAGCCCGGGGAAACUCGGAUUAAUGCCGGAUAGCCCCACAGCCUUUAGGGGCGGUGGGAAAAGGUAGCUUCGGCCUCUGGCCGAGGAUGGGUCCGCGGCGGAUUAGCUAGUUGGUGAGGUAACGGCUCACCAAGGCGACGAUCCGUAGCUGGUCUGAGAGGACGAACAGCCACACUGGGACUGAGACACGGCCCAGACUCCUACGGGAGGCAGCAGUGGGGAAUAUUGGACAAUGGGCGCAAGCCUGAUCCAGCCAUGCCGCGUGAGUGAUGAAGGCCUUAGGGUUGUAAAGCUCUUUCAGUAGGGAAGAUAAUGACGGUACCUACAGAAGAAGCCCCGGCUAACUUCGUGCCAGCAGCCGCGGUAAUACGAAGGGGGCUAGCGUUGUUCGGAUUUACUGGGCGUAAAGCGCACGUAGGCGGUUUGUUAAGUCAGGGGUGAAAUCCCGGAGCUCAACUCCGGAACUGCCUCUGAUACUGGCAAGCUAGAGUCCGGAAGAGGUAAGUGGAACUCCUAGUGUAGAGGUGGAAUUCGUANAUUUUAGGAAGAACACCAGUGGCGANGGCGGCUUACUG
RNAcentral lists this ribosomal RNA (712 nucleotides) under uncultured bacterium. Its description in RNAcentral is "bacterial SSU rRNA". It matches the Rfam family "Bacterial small subunit ribosomal RNA", at positions 8 to 731 of the family's 1533-position model. The record is from RNAcentral.